CAUCCGGUGGCCGCAGAGAAUAGGCCCAAGCGACUGUUUACCAAAAACAUAGGUUUCUGCUAAGUCGCAAGACGAUGUAUAGGAGCUGACGCCUGCCCGGUGCUGGAAGGUUAAGGGGAUCUGUUAGAGCAAUCGAAGCAGUGAACUUAAGCCCCAGUAAACGGCGGCCGUAACUAUAACGGUCCUAAGGUAGCGAAAUUCCUUGUCGGGUAAGUUCCGACCCGCACGAAAGGCGUAACGAUUUGGGCACUGUCUCAACAACAGACUCGGUGAAAUUGUAAUUCCGGUGAAGAUGCCGGAUACCUGCGACAGGACGGAAAGACCCCAUGGAGCUUUACUGUAGCUUGACAUUGGGUCUUGGUACUACAUGUACAGG
RNAcentral lists this ribosomal RNA (376 nucleotides) under Clostridioides difficile. RNAcentral's name for it is "partial 23S ribosomal RNA". It matches the Rfam family "Bacterial large subunit ribosomal RNA", at positions 1767 to 2142 of the family's 2925-position model. Lineage: Bacteria; Bacillati; Bacillota; Clostridia; Peptostreptococcales; Peptostreptococcaceae. The record is from RNAcentral.